CUGCCAACCACGGCUACUCACUUUUGUCAAAUAUUUUAACUACAUAUUUUUUCUCUAUGCACUAACACCAACGCAUAUUUCGGGUUAUUUUUUGUUUACCUAAAUGCGAUGAAAAAAAGUUUCUUUCAUUUCUUGAUUUAUUUGAAUGCGUGCGAAGGAGAAAACAUAAUUAUCAAUGGCGCUAAAAGAAAAUCCCAAAAAGGGUAAUAAAAAACCGAUUGAAUGACGCAUGUCAUUCGUGAUCGUACAACAAGAAGCAUUGGAAAUCAGAAUGAAUUGGAAAUAGCAGCAGCAGCAAUAUCAUCAGAAGCAGCAAAUAUCAAUUGUUAAAUGUUAUUACUAUUUUUAUUUAAUUAUUCUUUCUUUUCAGAUUUUAUCACUAUUUUUAUUUAAUUAAUCUUUGCUUUCAGAGUAAAUUCUAUUUGUAUUUAAUAUAUUUUAUUUUUUCGGAUAAUAUUAAUCUUUCUUUUUCUUUUAGAUAUUACAAAUUCAAUGUAAUUAUUAUUUAUUUUCAGGUAUCAAUAAUUUUUUUCUUUAAUAAAUCUU
Bactrocera dorsalis (oriental fruit fly) is the source of this 546-nucleotide long non-coding RNA. RefSeq lists it as uncharacterized. Lineage: Eukaryota; Metazoa; Arthropoda; Insecta; Diptera; Tephritidae. The record is from RefSeq and is a predicted model, not a curated record. The transcript has 3 exons.